This 497-nucleotide ribosomal RNA is filed under the name uncultured bacterium. Its description in RNAcentral is "partial 16S ribosomal RNA". It matches the Rfam family "Bacterial small subunit ribosomal RNA", at positions 28 to 507 of the family's 1533-position model. The record is from RNAcentral.
GACGAACGCUGGCGGCGUGCCUAAUACAUGCAAGUAGAACGCUAACGCGAUGAGCUUUCUCUUCUUGGGUGAGUUGCGAACGGGUGAGUAACGCGUAGGUAACCUGCCUUGUAUCGGGGGAUAACUAUUGGAAACGACAUCUACUACCGCAUAACACUGGCUGCCACAUAUCGCUUAUUUUCAUGGGGCCAUUCCUGCACUAAAAAGUGGACCUCCGUUGUAUUAGCUAGUGGGUGAGGUAAUGGCCCACCCAGGCGACGGUACAUAGUCUACCUGGGAGGGAGAUCCGCCACACUGGGACUGGGACACGGCCCAGACUCCUACGGGAGGGAGCAGUAGGGGAUCAUCGGAAAUGGGGGCAAACCUGGCCGAGCAACGCCGCGUGAGGGAAGAAGGGUUUCGGAUCGUAAAACUCUGUUGUAAGUCAAAAACGGGCGGGAGAGUAGAAAGUUCACACUGUGACGGUAGCUAAACAGAAAGGGACGGCUAACUACGUG